Microcebus murinus (gray mouse lemur) is the source of this 729-nucleotide non-coding RNA. Lineage: Eukaryota; Metazoa; Chordata; Mammalia; Primates; Cheirogaleidae. The record is from RefSeq and is a predicted model, not a curated record.
GUCCACGCGGCAAGGAGGAGCCCCUGCUGAUUUCCGUGCGGGCUCUUGUCAAAAUGGUGAAGCUGUUUAUUGGAAACCUGCCUCAGGAGGCCACAGAACAGGAGAUCCGCUCACUCUUCGAGCAGUAUGGGAAGGUGCUGGAAUGUGACAUCAUUAAGAACUAUGGCUUUGUGCACAUAGAAGACAAAACUGCAGCUGAUGAUGCCAUAUGCAACCUGUACCACUACAAGCUUCAUGGGGUGAACAUCAACGUGGAAGCCAGCAAGAAUAAGAGCAAAACCUCAACAAAGUUGCAUGUGGGCAACAUCAGUCCCACCUGCACCAACAAGGAGCUUCGGGCCAAGUUUGAGGAGUAUGGUCCAGUCAUUGAAUGUGACAUCGUCAAAGAUUAUGCCUUCGUACACAUGGAGCGGGCAGAGGGUGCAGUGGAGGCCAUGAGGGGCCUUGAUAACACAGAGUUUCAAGGUGGGAUGUGUGUAGGCUGAAAUUCAGAGCUGCGGUUGUGCAUGAGAAUACACCCUUCGUGGUACCCCAUCUCCGGGACGUUUUCGGCUCUGUGCAUUCAGUCCCUCAGGAACCAUGGACCUUAAUUUACCUUGCUGAGUUCGGACCUUCUCUUCCUUUCCUUUACUGCCCAUUUUCCUAUUCUUCCUAUCCUUCAGUACUUCUGUAGCCUCCCAUUCAUGUUCUAUUCUCCCAGCAGGCCUCAUUGUGUGCAGAAAUUGUGGU